This is a non-coding RNA of Oryzias latipes (Japanese medaka), 80 nucleotides long. The record is from Rfam. Lineage: Eukaryota; Metazoa; Chordata; Actinopteri; Beloniformes; Adrianichthyidae.
GCUCCGUCAUCCCAGUGUUCAGACUACCUGUUCAGAAUCUUCCUGGUGUACAGUAGUCUGCACAUUGGUUAGACUGUGCA